RNAcentral lists this microRNA (23 nucleotides) under Bombyx mori (domestic silkworm). RNAcentral describes it as "bmo-miR-13b-3p". Its record names the gene bmo-miR-13b-3p. RNAcentral also lists the same sequence under 3 other names. The record is from miRBase by way of RNAcentral. Lineage: Eukaryota; Metazoa; Arthropoda; Insecta; Lepidoptera; Bombycidae.
UAUCACAGCCAUUUUUGACGAGU